Molecule: long non-coding RNA, 1177 nt
Filed under: Helianthus annuus (common sunflower)
Lineage: Eukaryota; Viridiplantae; Streptophyta; Magnoliopsida; Asterales; Asteraceae
Description: hypothetical non coding rna
Source: RNAcentral
CACACUAACUAAUAACUAUAUCUAAAAAUACGAAAAUAUUUAAAAAAAGUGUUUUCGGACAGCUACUAAGGUGCUCUCAUUUCAACUCCGAUUUUCGAUUCAAUGUAAAUUCUCUUAACCUAACUUAAUUAAUUGUCAUUCUGUAUUUUGUUCAUCAACUGUUACUGGUUUUACUUUAUGAUUUUAACUAUUUAUAGAGACCACUAAACAAUGCUUAUUUGAACUGCAUAAGAAUUUAACCUAAAUGCUGUUUUACUGGUUAUUUGGGUGGUUCAAACUAACUUAUUAUAAGGAGGAGAGUGCCUGUGUUUCUUUCUUUACAUGAAUUUUUAAUUUAAAUUGCAGCUUCAUGGUGUUCUCUUCACAUAUGCAUACGUGUUUAUGUAUAAAUCCAAAUUGGGGGAUAGAUGGAUUUGUACUUUAAAUUUGCUUAAGAACUUGGAAUUGAUCUCCUUUUGAGCAGACCUAAUACAUAUUUAGGUAGGAGUUGCAAUCUCCGUUUUAAAAUCUAUAUAUAGAUAUAUGCUUAGGUAUAAUCAGAGUUUGUAAACCGGUUGGUAAAACCGAUGAUACUAUUUCAUGCUUUAUAAUAGACUAACAAAUCUCCUCCAUUGUCACUGUUCUAUUAGUUUCACUUCUACUUAAAAUUCUUUGUUACAUGACGUAAGUGACCUGCUGCUUAUCAAACAUUCAAACAAUAUAUGGUCAGUUCGGCAAACUGCUAAGUAAGGGCCAAAUUUGGUAAGAAGCCAUUACCAAAAGAUGCUGGUGGCAAAAUUGCACAUGCUGCACGAGUUUCAAUUUGCCGGCACAAUGAGCUUGCCUUAAAUAAGGUAAUGUUUUAACGUACAUAUUUGGUUUUUUAGAUAAUCAAAAUAUAUUCAUAUGAAUUCCAAUUGUGGAAAAUUGUUGUUUUGAGUGACCUUUAUAGUCAAAGUAUGACAGGUAAACGAGCUAUAAGCUGAGAUGUGACUUCGUUCACCUCACCGAGCUGUGGAUACAGCUUGCACGUAGGAUUCGUGGCGAGAGGGCUUAGACUAUGACUAUGAUUUGUAACACUAGUAUGUAGAUGUCACCUAAUUUGAUGUUGUUAUGGUGCCAUCUGAUUAUAUAAAACGAAAUUUUCAAAUUUAGUGACGUUAUAUGACUGGGUUGUCAAAUUACUGUUCAUUCUUAU